AUUCUCACUUGGGCAGCACAUAUAAUAAAAUUGGAACGAUACAUAGAAGAUUAGCAUGGCCCCUGCACAAGAAUGACACACAAAUUCAUGAAACAUUCCAUAUUUUA
RNAcentral lists this small nuclear RNA (107 nucleotides) under Jaculus jaculus (lesser Egyptian jerboa). The record is from RNAcentral. Lineage: Eukaryota; Metazoa; Chordata; Mammalia; Rodentia; Dipodidae.